Molecule: ribosomal RNA, 496 nt
Filed under: uncultured bacterium
Lineage: Bacteria
Description: partial 16S ribosomal RNA
Rfam family: Bacterial small subunit ribosomal RNA
Source: RNAcentral
GAUGAACGCUGGCGGCGUGCCUAAUACAUGCAAGUCGAGCGAACAGACGAGGAGCUUGCUCCUCUGACGUUAGCGGCGGACGGGUGAGUAACACGUGGAUAACCUACCUAUAGACUGGGAUAACUUCGGGAAACCGGAGCUAAUACCGGAUAAUAUAUUGAACCGCAUGGUUCAAUAGUGAAAGACGGUUUUGCUGUCACUUAUAGAUGGAUCCGCGCCGCAUUAGCUAGUUGGUAAGUUAACGGCUUACCAAGGCAACGAUGCGUAGCCGACCUGAGAGGGUGAUCGGCCACACUGGAACUGAGACACGGUCCAGACUCCUACGGGAGGCAGCAGUAGGGAAUCUUCCGCAAUGGGCGAAAGCUUGACGGAGCAACGCCGCGUGAGUGAUGAAGGUCUUCGGAUCGUAAAACUCUGUUAUUAGGGAAGAACAAAUGUGUAAGUAACUAUGCACGUCUUGACGGUACCUAAUCAGAAAGCCACGGCUAACUACGUG